AGCGAACGCUGGCGGCAGGCCUAACACAUGCAAGUCGAACGAACCUUUCGGGGUUAGUGGCGGACGGGUGAGUAACACGUGGGAACGUGCCUUUAGGUUCGGAAUAACUCAGGGAAACUUGUGCUAAUACCGAAUGUGCCCUUCGGGGGAAAGAUUAAUCGCCUUUAGAGCGGCCCGCGUCUGAUUAGCUAGUUGGUUGAGGUAAUGGCUCACCAAGGCGACGAUCAGUAGCUGGUCUGAGAGGAUGAUCAGCCACAUUGGGACUGAGACACGGCCCAAACUCCUACGGGAGGCAGCAGUGGGGAAUCUUGCGCAAUGGGCGAAAGCCUGACGCAGCCAUGCCGCGUGAAUGAUGAAGGUCUUAGGAUUGUAGAAUUCUUUCACCGGGGACGAUAAUGACGGUACCCGGAGAAGAAGCCCCGGCUAACUUCGUG
RNAcentral lists this ribosomal RNA (434 nucleotides) under uncultured bacterium. RNAcentral describes it as "partial 16S ribosomal RNA". It matches the Rfam family "Bacterial small subunit ribosomal RNA", at positions 29 to 507 of the family's 1533-position model. The record is from RNAcentral.